GUUACAGUUCAGAAAGCAGUAUAGAACAAGAACCUUCAGCUUACGAACAACUUCUCUCUACUCUUGGUUCAUCUGCAGCAAAUCAAUAUUCUGAUGAGGAAGACGAUGUAUCUGAUGAAGAUGAAGAUGAGGAGGAGUUUGAUGAAGAAGACAUUGAUGAGGAAGAUGCUGAAUCUGACAUUAUUGAAGAUGAGGAUGAGGAUUCCACACAGAUCUCGCUAGAUAAGAAAAAUGGACGUCAGUUAGAAGAAAAUGUAGAAGUUGAAGAUGAAGAAGAUGAAGAUGAAGAUGGUGAUAAUGAGGAGGAGGAGGAAGUUGCUAGUGAUGAGGAGGAGGAGGAAGUUGCUAGUGAUGAGGAGGAUGGAAAUAAGGAUGAAGAAGAAGUAAAUACUGAAACACAAC
Asterias rubens (European starfish) is the source of this 402-nucleotide long non-coding RNA. RefSeq lists it as uncharacterized. The record is from RefSeq and is a predicted model, not a curated record. Lineage: Eukaryota; Metazoa; Echinodermata; Asteroidea; Forcipulatida; Asteriidae. The transcript has 3 exons.